This 1574-nucleotide ribosomal RNA is filed under the name metagenome. RNAcentral's name for it is "bacterial LSU rRNA". It matches the Rfam family "Bacterial large subunit ribosomal RNA", at positions 1329 to 2925 of the family's 2925-position model. The record is from RNAcentral.
CCUUCAGGCCGAAUAUCUAAGGUUUCCAGAGUAAAGCUGAUCUGCUCUGGGUAAGUCGGGACCUAAGGCGAGGUCGAAAGACGUAGUCGAUGGAUAACAGGUUGAAAUUCCUGUACCGCAUAUAAACAGAACUGUGGGGACACAGACAGGGAAUGGAAUCCGGGGAUGGAGAACCCGGAGCAAGCGAGGUAGGAGUGCUGUUGGCAAAUCCGCAGCACGAUCUGAAGACGUGAUGCGUACCGAACAUAAGUAGGGAAGUCCAGGCCCCUGGCUGUCAAGAAAAGCCGCUAUUGUUUUAUAUGUGCCCGUACCGCAAACCGACACAGGUGGAUGAGGAGAGAAUCCUAAGGCCGACGGGAGAAGUAUUGUUAAGGAACUCGGCAAAAUGACUCCGUAACCUCGGGAGAAGGAGUGCCAUGAGAGUGGCCGCAGAGAAAUGGCCCAAGCAACUGUUUAGCAAAAACACAGGUCUAUGCAAAACCGUAAGGUGAAGUAUAUGGGCUGACGCCUGCCCGGUGCUGGAAGGUUAAGGGGAGAGGUUAGCGCAAGCGAAGCUUUGAGCUUAAGCCCCAGUAAACGGCGGCCGUAACGAUAACGGUCCUAAGGUAGCGAAAUUCCUUGUCGGGUAAGUUCCGACCCGCACGAAAGGCGUAAUGAUUUGGGCACUGUCUCAACGAUACACCCGGUGAAAUUGAAAUACCAGUGAAGAUGCUGGUUACCUGCGCCAGGACGGAAAGACCCCAUGGAGCUUUACUCCAGUUUGAUACUGGGAUUCGGCAUGGUAUGUACAGGAUAGGUGGGAGACUGAGAAGGUAUGACGUCAGUUGUACCGGAGUCGCUGUUGGGAUACCACCCUUACCAUGUUGGAUUUCUAACCUGUGGCCGUGAACCGGUCAGGGGACAAUGUCAGGCGGGGAGUUUGACUGGGGCGGUCGCCUCCGAAAGGGUAUCGGAGGCGCUCAAAGGUUCCCUCAGAAUGGUUGGAAACCAUUCGAAGAGUGCAAAGGCAGAAGGGAGCUUGACUGUGACACCGACGGGUGGAGCAGGUACGAAAGUAGGACUUAGUGAUCCGGUGGUAUAAAGUGGGAUUGCCAUCGCUCAACGGAUAAAAGCUACCCUGGGGAUAACAGGCUUAUCACUCCCAAGAGUUCACAUCGACGGAGUGGUUUGGCACCUCGAUGUCGGCUCAUCGCAUCCUGGAGCUGUAGCAGGUUCCAAGGGUUGGGCUGUUCGCCCAUUAAAGCGGUACGCGAGCUGGGUUCAGAACGUCGUGAGACAGUUCGGUCCCUAUCCGGCGCAGGCGGAGGAAAUUUGAUAGGAGCUGUCCUUAGUACGAGAGGACCGGGAUGGACGGACCGCUGGUGUAUCUGUUGUACUGCCAAGUGCAUCGCAGAGUAGCCAAGUCUGGAAGGGAUAAACGCUGAAGGCAUCUAAGCGUGAAGCCCCCCUAAAGAUAAGAUUUCCCAUACCGAAAGGUAGUAAGACCCCUUGAAGACGACGAGGUAGAUAGGGCAGAGGUGGAAGUGUGGUAACGCAUGGAGCUGACUGUUACUAAUCGGUCGAGGCUUUAACCU